AGCGAACGCUGGCGGCAGGCUUAACACAUGCAAGUCGAGCGGACGUAGCAAUACGUCAGCGGCAGACGGGUGAGUAACGCGUGGGAACGUACCUUUUGGUUCGGAACAACACAGGGAAACUUGUGCUAAUACCGAAUAAGCCCUUACGGGGAAAGAUUUAUCGCCGAAAGAUCGGCCCGCGUCUGAUUAGCUAGUUGGUGGGGUAACGGCCCACCAAGGCGACGAUCAGUAGCUGGUCUGAGAGGAUGAUCAGCCACAUUGGGACUGAGACACGGCCCAAACUCCUACGGGAGGCAGCAGUGGGGAAUAUUGGACAAUGGGCGAAAGCCUGAUCCAGCCAUGCCGCGUGAGUGAUGAAGGCCCUAGGGUUGUAAAGCUCUUUUGUGCGGGAAGAUAAUGACGGUACCGCAAGAAUAAGCCCCGGCUAACUUCGUG
Molecule: ribosomal RNA, 435 nt
Filed under: uncultured Afipia sp.
Lineage: Bacteria; Pseudomonadati; Pseudomonadota; Alphaproteobacteria; Hyphomicrobiales; Nitrobacteraceae
Description: bacterial SSU rRNA
Rfam family: Bacterial small subunit ribosomal RNA
Source: RNAcentral